AAAGUCGUAACAAGGUUUCCGUAGGUGAACCUGCGGAAGGAUCAUUACCGAGUUCAUGCCCGUCAGGGUAGACCUCCCACCCGUGUAUAUACCUACUCUGUUGCUUUGGCGGGCCGCCGCAAGGCACCGGCUCCGGCCGGGUCGCGCCCGCCAGAGGACCCCUAAACUCUGAAUGUUAGUGUCGUCUGAGUACUAUCUAAUAGUUAAAACUUUCAACAACGGAUCUCUUGGUUCUG
This 236-nucleotide unclassified non-coding RNA is filed under the name Ascomycota sp. RNAcentral's name for it is "partial contains small subunit ribosomal RNA, internal transcribed spacer 1, and 5.8S ribosomal RNA". The stretch from base 1 to 47 matches the Rfam family "Eukaryotic small subunit ribosomal RNA", at positions 1785 to 1831 of the family's 1831-position model. The record is from RNAcentral. Lineage: Eukaryota; Fungi; Ascomycota.